GGGGAUGUAACUUGGUUGGUAAAGUGCUUGCCUGGCGGGCAGGAAACCCUGGGUUCUGUCCCCAGCACCA
This is a non-coding RNA of Mesocricetus auratus (golden hamster), 70 nucleotides long. NCBI's taxonomy places the organism in Eukaryota, Metazoa, Chordata, Mammalia, Rodentia, Cricetidae. The record is from Rfam.